AACAAGGUUUCCGUAGGUGAACCUGCGGAAGGAUCAUUACUGAACUAGUAAUUCAUGAAAGGUCGCCGGUACCUGGCCCCCCUCAAAGGGGCCGGGGAAGGUCCUCUCACACCCCUUGUGUACCUUACCACGUUGCUUUGGCGGGCCGACCCGGUUUCGACCCGGGCGGCCGGUGCCCCCAGCCCUUCCGGGGGCCAGGACGCCAGGCUAAGCGCCCGCCAGCAUACCAAACUCCAGCGAUUAUUUCGUGUCGUUCUGAUGAAUUAUUCAAUUAAUUAAAACUUUCAACAACGGAUCUCUUGGUUCUGGCAUCGAUGAAGAACGCAGCGAAAUGCGAUAAGUAAUGUGAAUUGCAGAAUUCAGUGAAUCAUCGAAUCUUUGAACGCACAUUGCGCCCUCUGGUAUUCCGGAGGGCAUGCCUGUUCGAGCGUCAUUUCAACCCUCAAGCUCUGCUUGGUAUUGGGCGACGUCCGCUGCCGGACGCGCCUCGAAGACCUCGGCGACGGCGUCUCAGCCUCGAGCGUAGUAGUAAAAUUCUCGCUUUGGAGCGCUGGACGUCGGCCGCCGGACAACCGACCUUUGGUCUAAACACUUCAAGG
Molecule: ribosomal RNA, 599 nt
Filed under: Phyllosticta minima
Lineage: Eukaryota; Fungi; Ascomycota; Dothideomycetes; Botryosphaeriales; Phyllostictaceae
Description: eukaryotic LSU rRNA
Rfam family: 5.8S ribosomal RNA (bases 280-433)
Source: RNAcentral